GAUGAACGCUGGCGGCGUGCCUAAUACAUGCAAGUCGAACGAGGUGCCUUUGUAGCAAUACGAAGGUAUCCUAGUGGCGAACGGGUGAGUAACGCGUUGGUGACCUACCCCAAAGUGUGGGAUAACAGAUCGAAAGAUCUGCUAAUACCGCAUGUGGUCUUCGGAUUUAGAAACUGAUGACUAAAGGAGCAAUUCGCUUUGGGAGGGACCUGCGUCCCAUCAGCUAGUUGGUGAGGUAAUGGCUCACCAAGGCUACGACGGGUAGGGGACUUGAGAGGGUGGCCCCCCACAAUGGAACUGAAACACGGUCCAUACACCUACGGGUGGCAGCAGUAGGGAAUAUUGCACAAUGGGCGAAAGCCUGAUGCAGCAACGCCGCGUGUGCGAUGAAGGCCUUGGGUCGUAAAGCACUUUUCUGAGGGAUGAGCAAGGACAGUACCUCAGGAAUAAGUCUCGGCUAACUACGUGCCAGCAGCCGCGGUAA
Molecule: ribosomal RNA, 484 nt
Filed under: uncultured bacterium
Lineage: Bacteria
Description: bacterial SSU rRNA
Rfam family: Bacterial small subunit ribosomal RNA
Source: RNAcentral